AAAAAAAAAAGAAAAUAAGUAAUUCAAUUAAAAGUGGACAAAGGGCCUGAAAAGACAUAUAUCCAAAGAUUUACAAAUUAUCACAGCAAAAACUUGAAAAAAUAAAAAAAUAAAAAAAUAAAAAUAAAAAAAAGAAUUUGGGCUUGUUUUAAGGUCCCUUGCAAUUGCCUUGAGAUGUCUAUCUUUGGUGAAGGUCUACGGGGCUAUUUAGUCUAGUUGACAUCAGAAUCCUCCACGGCACAGAAAUAGUUGGGGACCAAUGAAAUGACAGGGAAAUCUACUAAAAAAGGACCAUCACUGUGCUUCCUUUGUCCCUUAAAUAGGACAUACGUGUUAUUGCAUUUUUGUUUACUUUGUUUGACAGACAGCACUAGUUUCUUUUUACUAUGUGGAUACAGGACUUAAACCCAGGAUGAAAGGCUUGGCAACAAACACCCGUAUCUCCUGAGCCAUCUUACCAGCCCCAGGACUUGCUGUUUUUAAAGGUGAGCACACGAUAACCUAGAUAACAGGUAACACCUCUCACCACCUUUCUAGCCAGGUAUGGCUGGGUGCCUGAGUUUACCCUAUGUCAUCAGAGAUUGCUAGUAAAUAUUUAACGAUCAAUUCUGACAGAGGGAGAAGGAAGAGACAGGCUGAGCAGCUCUAGGGCUCUAGGGGAGAGGUCAGGCUUCCAGCAGAGGCUGCUAAAGUUGGAGCUGUCAAGAGAUAUAGCUCUCCCUUGUUGAGUCCCUGGCUCUAGCUCAUUGUUAAGUACAAUGAAGCAUUUUCUAUGACUUAUUGAGAUAUCCAUUAAAAAAAAACAAAAAACCACGGCGGGGGACAAGCUUCAAGGAAUGGUGCACGCCCUUCUCCCAUUCUUCCUCUCUUCUGAAAGGAAUGAAUAUGAGAUAUGUGAUGGGUUGCAACUCCAGCUUGCAUGUUGGACCCUAAGGAGGAAGCAAUGUACUAAGGAACAGCAGGAUCCAACACAAAGAGGCCCUGAUGACCACGGAACUGCAGGGACGGCCCUGCACAGUGCAUGCAUGCAAACAGAAACAGACAGAGAGACAGAGAGGAGAGAGAGAGAGAGAUAUCUAACUUGUAAAUAUAACCAAUUUUUCUCCCUCACAGAUUUCUUAGCCAUUAUCAUCAUGGCAGGAAGCAUUGCAGUAUCCAGGCAGGCAUGGCUGUGGAGGAGCUCAGAGUUCUACAUCUUGUUCCUCAGGCAAACAGGAGAAGACUGCCCACCCCCACAGUGACAUGCUGCCUGCAACGAGGCCACGCCUCCUAAUGGUAGCAUUCCCUGUGGGCUAACCAUUCAAACACAUGCAUCUAUGGGACCAAACCUAUUCAAACCACCACAAGAGAGGAAUACACCAAAGAGACAUCUGGACCCUGGAGUCACAGCCACCUCAGUUGUCAUCCCAGCCCAGGCAUUCUCCAGCCAUAGCAAGCCGUCUGCCUCCCCAGUCUUACUUUCUCUGUUUGAAUAAUAAGAGAAAACUGACCUAAAGAA
Molecule: small RNA, 1498 nt
Filed under: Rattus norvegicus (Norway rat)
Lineage: Eukaryota; Metazoa; Chordata; Mammalia; Rodentia; Muridae
Description: uncharacterized LOC108352323
Source: RNAcentral